This 508-nucleotide small RNA is filed under the name Pan troglodytes (chimpanzee). RNAcentral describes it as "retained intron". The record is from RNAcentral. Lineage: Eukaryota; Metazoa; Chordata; Mammalia; Primates; Hominidae.
CUCCUGCCUCAGCCUCCCGACUAGCUGGGAUUACAGGCAGAGUGGCUCCUCACAGCCUGAAGCUCAUCCUUCUGCACGGGCCGGCCAGGCCAGCACAGAGGCACCGGGGCAGCAGUGCACACAGGUCCCCGGGGACCCCACCAUGUGGACCGGAUGGUGGCUCUGGCCCCUUGUGGCCGUCUGCACUGCAGACUUCUUUCGGGACGAGGCAGAGAGGAUCAUGAGGGACUCCCCUGUCAUUGAUGGGCACAAUGACCUCCCCUGGCAGCUGCUGGAUAUGUUCAACAACCGGCUGCAGGACGAGAGGGCCAACCUGACCACCUUGGCCGGCACACACACCAACAUCCCCAAGCUGAGGGCCGGCUUUGUGGGAGGCCAGGUACCGCCUGCCCUUGCCCUGUGUGGGGUCAUCCCGUCUCCUACCUCGGGCCUGGCUACAGUGUGACCAUCCCUGUGGUGUUCCUCCAGGGUCCCUCGGUGCCCAGGCCGAGGGAGCGCUUCCCAGGGG